Molecule: ribosomal RNA, 402 nt
Filed under: uncultured bacterium
Lineage: Bacteria
Description: bacterial SSU rRNA
Rfam family: Bacterial small subunit ribosomal RNA
Source: RNAcentral
AUUGAACGCUGGCGGCGUGCCUAACACAUGCAAGUCGAGCGGUAACAGGUGUAGCAAUACAUGCUGACGAGCGGCGAACGGGUGAGUAAUGCUUCGGAAUCUGCCCAUGUAGUGGGGAAUAACCAGCCGAAAGGUUGGCUAAUACCGCAUACGACCCUUGCCCACAAGGCAAAGGUGAAAGCAGGGGAUCGCAAGACCUUGCGCUAUUGGAUGAGCCGAAGUCGGAUUAGCUAGUUGGUAGGGUAACGGCCUACCAAGGCGACGAUCCGUAGCUGGUCUGAGAGGACGACCAGCCACACUGGGACUGAGACACGGCCCAGACUCCUACGGGAGGCAGCAGUGGGGAAUUUUGGACAAUGGGGCAACCCUGAUCCAGCCAUGCCGCGUGUGUGAAGAAGGCCU